Molecule: transfer RNA, 73 nt
Filed under: Mesocricetus auratus (golden hamster)
Lineage: Eukaryota; Metazoa; Chordata; Mammalia; Rodentia; Cricetidae
Rfam family: tRNA
About the family: Transfer RNA (tRNA) molecules are approximately 80 nucleotides in length. Their secondary structure includes four short double-helical elements and three loops (D, anti-codon, and T loops). Further hydrogen bonds mediate the characteristic L-shaped molecular structure. tRNAs have two regions of fundamental functional importance: the anti-codon, which is responsible for specific mRNA codon recognition, and the 3' end, to which the tRNAs corresponding amino acid is attached (by aminoacyl-tRNA synthetases). tRNAs cope with the degeneracy of the genetic code in two manners: having more than one tRNA (with a specific anti-codon) for a particular amino acid; and 'wobble' base-pairing, i.e. permitting non-standard base-pairing at the 3rd anti-codon position.
Source: Rfam by way of RNAcentral
GGAGAGAUAGCUUGGCAGUUGAGAGCACUGACUACUGUUCCAGAGGACCUGGGUUCAAUUCCCAGCAUCCUCA